AUUAUACCGUGAAACUGCGAAUGGCUCAUUAAAUCAGUUAUCGUUUAUUUGAUAGUACCUUACCACUUGGAUAACCGUGGUAAUUCUAGAGCUAAUACAUGCUAAAAACCCCGACUUCGGAAGGGGUGUGUUUAUUAGAUAAAAAACCAAUGCCCUUCGGGGCUCUUUGGUGAUUCAUGAUAACCUAACGGAUCGCAUGGCCUUGCGCCGGCGACGGUUCAUUCAAAUUUCUGCCCUAUCAACUUUCGAUGGUAAGGUAUUGGCUUACCAUGGUUUCAACGGGUAACGGGGAAUUAGGGUUCGAUUCCGGAGAGGGAGCCUGAGAAACGGCUACCACAUCCAAGGAAGGCAGCAGGCGCGCAAAUUACCCAAUCCCGACACGGGGAGGUAGUGACAAUAAAUACUGAUAUAGGGCUCUUUUGGGUCUUGUAAUUGGAAUGAGUACAAUUUAAACCCCUUAACGAGGAACAAUUGGAGGGCAAGUCUGGUGCCAGCAGCCGCGGUAAUUCCAGCUCCAAUAGCGUAUAUUAAAGUUGUUGCAGUUAAAAAGCUCGUAGUUGAAACUUGGGUCUGGCUAGCGGGUCCGCCUCACCGCGUGCACUUGUCCGGCUGGACCUUUCCUUCUGGAGAACCUCAUGCCCUUCACUGGGUGUGUUGGGGAACCAGGACUUUUACUUUGAAAAAAUUAGAGUGUUCAAAGCAGGCCUUUGCUCGAAUACGUUAGCAUGGAAUAAUAGAAUAGGACGUGCGGUCCUAUUUUGUUGGUUUCUAGGAUCGCCGUAAUGAUUAAUAGGGAUAGUCGGGGGCAUCAGUAUUCAAUUGUCAGAGGUGAAAUUCUUGGAUUUAUUGAAGACUAACUACUGCGAAAGCAUUUGCCAAGGAUGUUUUCAUUAAUCAGUGAACGAAAGUUAGGGGAUCGAAGACGAUCAGAUACCGUCGUAGUCUUAACCGUAAACUAUGCCGACUAGGGAUCGGGCGAUGUUUCUAUCUUGACUCGCUCGGCACCUUACGAGAAAUCAAAGUUUUUGGGU
This 1031-nucleotide ribosomal RNA is filed under the name Melanomma pulvis-pyrius. Its description in RNAcentral is "SSU rRNA". It matches the Rfam family "Eukaryotic small subunit ribosomal RNA", at positions 73 to 1112 of the family's 1831-position model. The record is from RNAcentral. Lineage: Eukaryota; Fungi; Ascomycota; Dothideomycetes; Pleosporales; Melanommataceae.